CCAACUAUAGCACAGCCAGAGACUCUUGAUCCUGAGUAAGGUAAUUAUUACAAAGACGAUAACACUUGUUAGUUUGAUGCUGCAAUGAGUGGCAAUGCACAAUGAGACAGGUACAGAUCCUGCCUGUGGGUCGCCGCUGUACUGCCAAGAGAUUGGCUGGCGCUAAUGAAAGGCACCAACGGCGAAUAUAUUUGAGGUGGAACCAUUCUGUUUAUUCAUGCAAGCAGCUAACCGCGGUCUAUGUGAGCGAGGUAGUUCGACUGUGCAAGCAUGGCAGUCCAGCAGCCAAGCUGGCUAAGUCGUAUUCAUUUCUUUAACUUUAUGUCCGUGUAUAUUUUGCAUUUUUGUGUUAUGUUGUGUUCAUUGUUCAUUUCUUCUCUUCCGUCAGCGGUUGCUCCAGAUCCGUGGUCAAGGUUGGAUAUUACUUGUGCUGGGCUAAAUAGCAUCAAGUUCAAAUCCUUUCCAGACUGCUUAUGCACACAGUCGCUUGACUACUUUCGCUGUACAUUCGAAAAUGGGAAGUCCAUUUGCUUCCAGAGGGGAUUUCCACGUUUAAAUUGGCUUGAUUCCUACAGAAUUAGGAUAAUGGCUUCUUAUGACUGGAUAGUUCGAUGUAAACAGCUUUCUCCGGCUCCCUAAGGGAGUGCCAUGCACUUUCCGGUCCACUAUGAAGGGUCGAACUUCACCUGGCUAUACAUUCAAAAUUGAGAAGUCCAUUUGUUUUCGUUGGGAGCUUGUGUUACUAGGAGCAUGAGAGCCUGGGGGUGUGGGAGCCUGAGGGCCUGGGAGCCUGGGGGACCUGGGAGCCUGGGGGCCUGGGAGCUUGGGAGCUUGUUAGGCUGGGGGCCUGGGAGCUUGGGAGCUUGUUAGGCUGGGGUCCUGGGAGCCUGGGAGUUUGGGAACCUGGAAGCCUGGGGAGCCUGGGAGCCUGGGAGCCUGGGAGCUUGGGAGUCUGGGGGCCUGGGGGCCUGGGAGCCUGGGGGCCUGGGGGCCUGGGAGCCUGGGGGCCUGGGAGCUUGGGAGCCUGGGGGCCUGGAAGCCUGGGGACCUGGGAGCCUGGGGUCCUGGGAGCCUGGGGACCUGGGAGCCUGAAAGCUUGGGAGCCUGGGGGCCUGGGAGCUUGGGAGCCUGGGGGCCUGGGAGCCUGGGAGCUUGGGAGCCUGGGGGCCUGGGGGCCUGAGAGCCUGGGAGCCUGGGGGCCUGGGAGCCUGGGGACCUGGGAACCUGGGAGCCUGGGAGCUUGGGAGCCUGGGGGCCUGGGAGCCUGGGAGCCUGGGGGCCUGGGAGCCUGGGGGCCUGAAAGCCCGGGGGCCUGGGAGCCCAGGGUCCUGGGAGCCUGGGAGCUUGGGGACCUGGGGGCCUGGGUACCUGGGGGCCUCGGAUCUUGGGAGCCUGGGGGCCUGGGAGCCUGGGAGCUUGGGAGCCUGGGAGCCUGGGGGCCUGGGAGCCUGGAGNNNNNNNNNNNNNNNNNNNNNNNNNNNNNNNNNNNNNNNNNNNNNNNNNNUGUCGACAAGCAUGCAAAAGGUCCUGAUUCCUCAGCACUAGCUUCCACCGUCGCACGCUAGACCGGUUCGCGAGCAGCCCACACCGUCGGCGCUGCAGCUGCCCACAACAGACUUCCAUGCCCCGUCGGCGUCGGUGGUGAAGCCACCCGCAUCAGACCGGCAUGCCCCGUCGGCACCAGAGCCGCAGGCAGAACUUCAUCGUUUUCAUCAUUACUUUCAGGUCUUAGGUGUUAUCAUUACCAAAAUUUUAUCGAACUUCAUUGUUACUUGAGGUCUUAGGUGUUACGGACUGUGAGGGUGUUCCACUUCCAACUUCAAUUUAAAGGAAACAGAAAAUAUAAAUUUGCUCAUUUCAUUUUUCAUUUGCGCGUACAUGUGUGUGUGUCUCCAUGUGUCUCAAAGCAACCCAAACAUAGCGAAGACCGGUCGCGCGCGUCGGCCUGACAGCUCAAAACGCUGGCUAUGGUCAUACUUUAUCACUAGGACAUGAUUGGGGGCGUCGAGCAACACCUUUUCGGUCCAAAUUCGGCGGGUCCGGUUCCGGUCCAGUGGCCGGUCGCAAAGGCUGUCGUACCCGGUCCGGCUGGCGGGGCUAACCAUAGUUAGAGAGUAGGGUCGGGCUGGAGCCAACUAUAGCACAGCCAGAGACUCUUGAUCCUGAGUAAGGUAAUUAUUACAAAGACGAUAACACUUGUUAGUUUGAUGCUGCAAUGAGUGGCAAUGCACAAUGAGACAGGUACAGAUCCUGCCUGUGGGUCGCCGCUGUACUGCCAAGAGAUUGGCUGGCGCUAAUGAAAGGCACCAACGGCGAAUAUAUUUGAGGUGGAACCAUUCUGUUUAUUCAUGCAAGCAGCUAACCGCGGUCUAUGUGAGCGAGGUAGUUCGACUGUGCAAGCAUGGCAGUCCAGCAGCCAAGCUGGCUAAGUCGUAUUCAUUUCUUUAACUUUAUGUCCGUGUAUAUUUUGCAUUUUUGUGUUAUGUUGUGUUCAUUGUUCAUUUCUUCUCUUCCGUCAGCGGUUGCUCCAGAUCCGUGGUCAAGGUUGGAUAUUACUUGUGCUGGGCUAAAUAGCAUCAAGUUCAAAUCCUUUCCAGACUGCUUAUGC
This 2608-nucleotide long non-coding RNA is filed under the name Volvox carteri. RNAcentral's name for it is "long non-coding RNA (VCAR_LNC001839)". The record is from RNAcentral. Lineage: Eukaryota; Viridiplantae; Chlorophyta; Chlorophyceae; Chlamydomonadales; Volvocaceae.